RNAcentral lists this ribosomal RNA (497 nucleotides) under uncultured bacterium. Its description in RNAcentral is "partial 16S ribosomal RNA". It matches the Rfam family "Bacterial small subunit ribosomal RNA", at positions 28 to 507 of the family's 1533-position model. The record is from RNAcentral.
GAUGAACGCUGGCGGCGUGCCUAAUACAUGCAAGUCGAGCGAACGGACGAGAAGCUUGCUUCUCUGAUGUUAGCGGCGGACGGGUGAGUAACACGUGGAUAACCUACCUAUAAGACUGGGAUAACUUCGGGAAACCGGAGCUAAUACCGGAUAAUAUUUUGAACCGCAUGGUUCAAAAGUGAAAGACGGUCUUGCUGUCACUUAUAGAUGGAUCCGCGCUGCAUUAGCUAGUUGGUAAGGUAACGGCUUACCAAGGCAACGAUGCAUAGCCGACCUGAGAGGGUGAUCGGCCACACUGGAACUGAGACACGGUCCAGACUCCUACGGGAGGCAGCAGUAGGGAAUCGUCCGCAGUGGGCGAAAGCCUGACGGAGCAACGCCGCGUGAGUGAUGAAGGUCUUCGGAUCGUAAAACUCUGUUAUUAGGGAAGAACAUAUGUGUAAGUAACUGUGCACAUCUUGACGGUACCUAAUCAGAAAGCCACGGCUAACUACGCG